RNAcentral lists this small nuclear RNA (140 nucleotides) under Mus pahari (shrew mouse). RNAcentral's name for it is "snRNA (MGP_PahariEiJ_G0033298.1)". Lineage: Eukaryota; Metazoa; Chordata; Mammalia; Rodentia; Muridae. The record is from RNAcentral.
UUAUUUCCCUGGAAGGGGAGAUACCACGACCAAGGAGGCUGUUUUCAUCUGUUGCAUCUGCCAAUCCUGGUAUUUCCUCAAAUAUGGGAAACCCAACUGCUAAUUUAUGGUAGCUGGAAACUGUGUUCUCAUUUUUCCCC